Molecule: ribosomal RNA, 406 nt
Filed under: uncultured bacterium
Lineage: Bacteria
Description: partial 16S ribosomal RNA
Rfam family: Bacterial small subunit ribosomal RNA
Source: RNAcentral
AUUGAACGCUGGCGGCAGGCCUAACACAUGCAAGUCGAACGAGUGGCGGACGGGUGAGUAAUGUAUGGGAAACUGCCUGAUGGAGGGGGAUAACUACUGGAAACGGUAGCUAAUACCGCAUAACAUCAGAUGUGCCCAGAUGGGAUUAGCUUGUUGGUGGGGUAACGGCUCACCAAGGAGACGAUCCCUAGCUGGUCGGAGAGGAUGACCAGACACACUGGAACUGAGCCACGGUCCAGACUCCUACGGGAGGCAGCAGUGGGGAAGAUUUCACAAUGGGCGAAAGCCUGGUGCAGCCAUGCCGCGUGUAUGAAGAAGGCCGUCGGGUUGUAAAGUACGUUCAGCGGGGAGGCGUUACCCGCAGAAGAAGCACCGGCUAACUCCGUGCCAGCAGCCGCGGUAAUAC